CAGUCACAGACUGAUGAGACACGAAAGGUCAAGUGGCAUUCCAUUUUAAGAGUACUGUCUUAUUUAGCAGGAGUGAAAACAAUGGCUCUGUAAUCCAUGUCUAUAUUUAACCUGCUAUUGUGAUGUGCUGUAUUGCUGCUGCUUUUUUUUUCUUUUUAUUUAAACCAGCAUUUGAAACAACACAUCUAGAGACUCCCUAUUAGAAGAAGUCAGAUCCUGAAAUUCCAGAGCCCCAAAGGAAUCAGGAAUGAAUGCAGCAAAUUCCACUGUUACCUACUGAGACAGAUGUUUAAAAGUGUCCAUAUAUAUGCAUAUGUAUAGCAGGAUCGGAUGCUCCAGAUUACCACCUCAUCAAACCUGCCAUCCUCACAGCACCUGGAGCCACCACAUACCCUGAAAUAAAACCUGCCUUUCAUCAGGAAAUCCAGCCAGAUGGGAGGAUACUGACAGAAUCACAAGCUCCAGACAACUGUGGUUGUCACUGCCAUACAAAAGACCCUGCUCCAACUUGCUUUCUGCUGUGACUUUCCACUGAGAGCAAACCACGUAUAAGCACCACAGAUGCUGUAUCUGCAUCCAUUCGGUUUAGCGGUCUUUGUGCCAGAGCUCUUGGCGUCAUGUCAGCCCCAAGAGGAACUGGCUGUGCCUGCAAGUUUCUUUACAGAUAAAUAACCUGCUUUGCUGUUGCUGCUGUUAAUACAGAGGAAUUGGGAGUUUCAUUCUGUUCUCAAAAAAGCUGAUUUUGCAUGCAAAAGCACAAAAGCCAAGAACAGAUACGGAAAAUAACUACUGAAGAGACUUGAUGACUGUCUGUUGCAGUUUUUCUUUGUAGGUUUAGCUACUACAGCACCUAGCUGCAAUGUGAACUGUUGGUGUAUACAGUUUCAGGAAUUAAAAAAAUGGACAUAUUGCAAAGUCUCAGGUUUCUAAUGAACAUUUUAAUUCACAGCUUUUCUCUGAACUCACAGCAUUUGGAGCAAAGCAGACUGACCACUGGUGUCAGCUUGAUGUAAGCUAAGCGCAGGACUACCUACAUAGAAGGAACUGCAAACUCCACCUCAAAAUAUUUCUUUAAGAGCACUCCCUUAGCAGACUAAAACCCAUUUAAACUUAAAUACUUGGUUCUUCAGCAAGAAUAAAAACACAGCUUUAAUGAAUAGGGCCAAAAAAGAAGUUUCUCUUGAUGUUUCUCCCAGAAAACUUUUCUGUUUUCAGCUAGCCGUAGCACUCAAGGGUAAAAAAGAAUCUGUCAGAACAGGAACACAGCAACCUUCUAUCUUGUUUUUACGUGGCUUACCAGAAGGUAAGGUUGAAAUAAUUGCUGCUUGUUCUGCUUUUAACCUUUUUGUUAUUAUAUGCUAACUACUGCAGCACACCUUUUUAAAACACUCCUAAACAAAGCGGGAGGUUCUUUUAAGAACAGUAGAGGCCCCAGAAAUGCCACACACACAGCC
Harpia harpyja (harpy eagle) is the source of this 1454-nucleotide long non-coding RNA. RefSeq lists it as uncharacterized. The record is from RefSeq and is a predicted model, not a curated record. NCBI's taxonomy places the organism in Eukaryota, Metazoa, Chordata, Aves, Accipitriformes, Accipitridae. The transcript is spliced from 3 exons.